UAAGAAGUGGUGUAGAGGAAGCACAAAGGGUUUUGAUCUCUUUAGGGUAGGUUCAAGUCCUAUCUUUUUAGG
RNAcentral lists this transfer RNA (72 nucleotides) under Siren intermedia (lesser siren). Its description in RNAcentral is "tRNA-Gln". It matches the Rfam family "tRNA". Rfam says of the family: Transfer RNA (tRNA) molecules are approximately 80 nucleotides in length. Lineage: Eukaryota; Metazoa; Chordata; Amphibia; Caudata; Sirenidae. The record is from RNAcentral.